GCGGAAGGAUCAUUAGUGAAAUGCUCUUUGAGCGUUACUAUAUCCAUCUACACCUGUGAACUGUUGAUUGAUUUCGGUCAAUUACUUUCAAACAUUGUGUAAUGAACGUCAUGUUAUUAUAACAAAAAUAACUUUCAACAACGGAUCUCUUGGCUCUCGCAUCGAUGAAGAACGCAGCGAAAUGCGAUAAGUAAUGUGAAUUGCAGAAUUCAGUGAAUCAUCGAAUCUUUGAACGCAACUUGCGCUCUCUGGUAUUCCGGAGAGCAUGCCUGUUUGAGUAUCAUGAAAUCUCAACCAUUAGGGUUUCUUAAUGGCUUGGAUUUGGGUGCUGCCAGUUGCCUGGCUCACCUUAAAAGAGUUAGCGUGUUUAACUUGUCGAUCUGGCGUAAUAAGUUUCGCUGGUGUAGACUUGAGAAGUGCGCUUCUAAUCGUCCUCGGACAAUUCUUGAACUCUGGUCUCAAAUCAGGUAGGACUACCCGCUGAACUUAAGCAUAUCAAUAAGCGGAGGAA
This 511-nucleotide ribosomal RNA is filed under the name Cutaneotrichosporon jirovecii. RNAcentral describes it as "eukaryotic LSU rRNA". The stretch from base 130 to 283 matches the Rfam family "5.8S ribosomal RNA". The record is from RNAcentral. Lineage: Eukaryota; Fungi; Basidiomycota; Tremellomycetes; Trichosporonales; Trichosporonaceae.